Molecule: small nucleolar RNA, 93 nt
Organism: Erinaceus europaeus (western European hedgehog)
Lineage: Eukaryota; Metazoa; Chordata; Mammalia; Eulipotyphla; Erinaceidae
Product: small nucleolar SNORD12/SNORD106
Exons: 1
Source: RefSeq, a predicted model, not a curated record
GUUGGCAUAUAUGAUGACUGAAUCUUUUUUCCCCAACAGAUCGACCAUGUUGAUCUACUUGCUCUUAAGCCAGUUUUUGUCUGAUAUGCCAUC